CUUCUUUUUGUUUAUUUAUUUUUUUAAGUUACUACAGAAAUCUAUCUAUAGAUUUUGUAAGUGUUUGAUGCCAUGUCUUUAUGUCUGUUUUAUUUUAUUUUAUUUUUGUUUCUUUCAAUAUUAUUCAUUUUGUGGAGUACCAAAGACUCAUGUGUGCUGAUUUGGAUAACUACUGAGCUUGUAGAUCUGCGAUUAUUCUCCUGAUCAACAUAGAAGCUUUGAUGGAACUAGUAACUCUUUGUGCUGGUCAUGGGUAGAGGAUAUUCUUGAGAGAGAGAGAGAGAGAGAGAGAGAGAGAGAGAGAGUAGCUGAUGAUGAUGCAUAAAUUACUACAUAAAGAUUGGUUUCUGAUGACGUUUAUUAGAAGCAUACUUGCAAAUCAAGAUCAAGUGUUAAAUUUUUUUUCUUGAACUGAUUCUUAGUUCUAGUUUUAAACCUAGUUGACUGAUAUUUUUUUUGUUGGACUCCGCAUUAGUUCAUUUUGGAAUUUGUUAUGAUGGUUUUUUUUAUUAUACUUAAUGGAUUAUUAUUAAAUUUGUUUGAUGGAUAUAUUUUCAUUUAUGAUAUAAAUUGUUUAGUGAAUUA
Molecule: non-coding RNA, 585 nt
Organism: Camellia sinensis
Lineage: Eukaryota; Viridiplantae; Streptophyta; Magnoliopsida; Ericales; Theaceae
Source: RefSeq, a predicted model, not a curated record